GACGAACGCUGGCGGCGUGCUUAACACAUGCAAGUCGAACGGAAAGGCCCUGCUUUUGUGGGGUGCUCGAGUGGCGAACGGGUGAGUAACACGUGAGUAAUCUGCCCUUGACUUUGGGAUAACUUCAGGAAACUGGGGCUAAUACCGGAUAGGAGCUCCUGCUGCAUGGGGGGGGUUGGAAAGUUUCGGCGGUUGGGGAUGGACUCGCGGCUUAUCAGCUUGUUGGUGGGGUAGUUGCUUACCAAGGCUUUGACGGGUAGCCGGCCUGAGAGGGUGACCGGCGACAUUGGGACCGAGAUGCGGCACAGGCUGCUACGGGAGGAAGCAGUGGGGAAUAUUGCACAAUGGGCGGAAGGCUGAUGAAGCAACGCCGCGUGCGGGAUGACGGCCUUCGGGUUGUAAACCGCUUUCGCCUGUGACGCAGCGUGAGUGACGGUAAUGGGUAAAGAAGCACCGGCUAACUACGUG
Molecule: ribosomal RNA, 468 nt
Filed under: uncultured bacterium
Lineage: Bacteria
Description: partial 16S ribosomal RNA
Rfam family: Bacterial small subunit ribosomal RNA
Source: RNAcentral